RNAcentral lists this ribosomal RNA (467 nucleotides) under uncultured bacterium. RNAcentral describes it as "partial 16S ribosomal RNA". It matches the Rfam family "Bacterial small subunit ribosomal RNA", at positions 28 to 507 of the family's 1533-position model. The record is from RNAcentral.
GAUGAACGCUGGCGGCGUGCUUAACACAUGCAAGUCGAACGGAAAGGCCCAAGCUUGCUUGGGUACUCGAGUGGCGAACGGGUGAGUAACACGUGGGUGAUCUGCCCUGCACUUCGGGAUAAGCCUGGGAAACUGGGUCUAAUACCGGAUAGGACCACUUCUUGGAUGUUGUGGUGGAAAGUUUUUUCGGUGUGGGAUGAGCUCGCGGCCUAUCAGCUUGUUGGUGGGGUAAUGGCCUACCAAGGCGUCGACGGGUAGCCGGCCUGAGAGGGUGUACGGCCACAUUGGGACUGAGAUACGGCCCAGACUCCUACGGGAGGCAGCAGUGGGGAAUAUUGCACAAUGGGCGCAAGCCUGAUGCAGCGACGCCGCGUGGGGGAUGACGGCCUUCGGGUUGUAAACUCCUUUCGCUAGGGGCGAAGCGUUUUGUGACGGUACCUGGAGAAGAAGCACCGGCUAACUACGUG